UGGGGAAUAUUGGACAAUGGGCGCAAGCCUGAUCCAGCCAUGCCGCGUGAGUGAUGACGGCCUUAGGGUUGUAAAGCUCUUUCGCACGCGACGAUAAUGACGGUAGCGUGAGAAGAAGCCCCGGCUAACUUCGUGCCAGCAGCCGCGGUAAUACGAAGGGGGCUAGCGUUGCUCGGAAUCACUGGGCGUAAAGGGCGCGUAGGCGGACGUUUAAGUCAGAGGUGAAAGCCCAAGGCUCAACCUUGGAAUGGCCUUUGAUACUGGACGUCUCGAGACCGGAAGAGGUGAGUGGAACUGCGAGUGUAGAGGUGAAAUUCGUAGAUAUUCGCAAGAACACCAGUGGCGAAGGCGGCUCACUGGUCCGGUUCUGACGCUGAGGCGCGAAAGCGUGGGGAGCAAA
RNAcentral lists this ribosomal RNA (400 nucleotides) under uncultured bacterium. Its description in RNAcentral is "bacterial SSU rRNA". It matches the Rfam family "Bacterial small subunit ribosomal RNA", at positions 355 to 772 of the family's 1533-position model. The record is from RNAcentral.